RNAcentral lists this ribosomal RNA (462 nucleotides) under uncultured Desulfobulbus sp. RNAcentral's name for it is "bacterial SSU rRNA". It matches the Rfam family "Bacterial small subunit ribosomal RNA", at positions 925 to 1382 of the family's 1533-position model. Lineage: Bacteria; Pseudomonadati; Thermodesulfobacteriota; Desulfobulbia; Desulfobulbales; Desulfobulbaceae. The record is from RNAcentral.
ACAAGCGGUGGAGUAUGUGGUUAAUUCGAUGCAACGCGAAGAACCUUACCUGGCCUUGACAUCCCGGAGACCCUUAGGAAACUAGGGGGUGCUUCCAUCUGGAAGAAUCUGGAGACAGGUGCUGCAUGGCUGUCGUCAGCUCGUGUCGUGAGAUGUUGGGUUAAGUCCCGCAACGAGCGCAACCCUUGCCUUUAGUUGCCAGCAGUUCGGCUGGGCACUCUAAAGGGACUGCCGGUGUUAAACCGGAGGAAGGUGGGGAUGACGUCAAGUCCUCAUGGCCUUUAUGACCAGGGCUACACACGUACUACAAUGGCCGAUACAAAGGGCAGCGACACUGCGAGGUGAAGCCAAUCCCGUAAAAUCGGUCUCAGUCCGGAUUGGAGUCUGCAACUCGACUCCAUGAAGUUGGAAUCGCUAGUAAUCGUGGAUCAGCAUGCCACGGUGAAUACGUUCCCGGGCCUU